CAGGAGACAGUCUUUCUUGGAGAGGUGAACAGGACAGUGGAGAUGUACAGGAUGGCAAUGAACAGAUAUAAUAGUAAAAUAUCAAUAAUAGUAAUAACUCAUUAUUAUACAGAUUAAGAAAAAAGGAAAGACCAAAAAAACCCAAACAGUAAUCAAACCCCAUCAUCAUGAGCUAUGGUGUAUCAAUUAAAAUGGAAGUGAAUUACAUGCAAAUGCUUCAAACAGAAAAUGCCGAAUACCUUUCCACUGAUGAUUUUUAGUUGUCAGGACAAGUGAGACCCAAACAGCAGACAGAAUGGUCCCAGCAUGCUUGUUGCCUUUUUUUUGUUUGCACAGUAGCUGUCAAUUUCAGCCUUGCAGGUAGGGGAACCCAGCGGGAGGCAGGGGCGGGACCCAACCACGCAGGCUGAACUGAGAGCAAAUUUAAAUUACUGAGCCUUUUUUUUCCUUUUUUAUUUUUCUACUCUGCGACAAACUGAAAAGAUUCCAGCACGCUAAUUUAACCACCCUGCUUCUUCUUUGCCUUUUUUUUUUUUUUUUUUUUUGUCUCCCUGCUUCCAGGAUAAUUAAAAGAGAAACCUGUAAAGGCAACAUUCCUGUGACCGAGUUGGUGCUGCUACGUGCUGGUCAGAGACUCCAAGAGCUGGUAGUGGAGAAUUGAAGGUCCUACUCCUUUUGUGGCGAAGUCUGGACUGAACCAGCAACAAGAAAAACAAUGAACAGUAAUUAUGAUCACAGAAGAAAAGAACCCAGAUCUUGUCAUUUUUCCACUGAUUAAUUAAACACACAGACGCACAUAAACACAGACAUACAUAUUCAGAAAAGCUUAGUACUGGCCUCUAUUGUGAUCUUUUAGUACCAUAGUUUAGUUACUUGCGAUUUACAGGCCACGACUGCUAAACAUCAGAACUCAUGCG
Molecule: long non-coding RNA, 917 nt
Filed under: Capra hircus (goat)
Lineage: Eukaryota; Metazoa; Chordata; Mammalia; Artiodactyla; Bovidae
Description: lncRNA (ENSCHIG00000001821.1)
Source: RNAcentral